This 451-nucleotide long non-coding RNA is filed under the name Bos taurus (domestic cattle). RNAcentral's name for it is "long non-coding RNA NONBTAT012143". Lineage: Eukaryota; Metazoa; Chordata; Mammalia; Artiodactyla; Bovidae. The record is from RNAcentral.
UUAAUGGUCUCUGAUGCCCAGUUAGAAACAGGUGAAAAGUCCUGAAUUCAGAGCCCUUGUCCGGGGCAUUUUAUCAGCAGGCCAGCCCAGUCUGUGGCCAAACGGGUCUCUUGAAAUCAUUAAUGCAUCAAGCAGGGACCAGUAGCCAGACUGACCUUUCCCACCCGAGGCCUGCCUGGAGCUUGGAAAAGUGAAGCUCUUUCCUGUAUGAGCCACCCCCAACUCCCCACUCCGCAUGACUCAGAAAGCUUGAAGGUGCCCUAAAAUGACUUUCUCCAUUGAGCUCAAGAAACAUUGUGUAGGAUCAGCCUGUCUGAAACUCCUUAUAUGGAGAGGUUCUGAGACUCUAUUUUAUGUUUGGUUUGUAAGAGGAUCAUAGCUUUAAAAAAGAAAGAAAAGAAAGGAAAGCCUAAGGCAAGGCAAUGAUAUCAUAUUACUAAGAGGCCUGGUU